RNAcentral lists this unclassified non-coding RNA (332 nucleotides) under soil metagenome. Its description in RNAcentral is "partial contains 5.8S ribosomal RNA, internal transcribed spacer 2, and large subunit ribosomal RNA". The stretch from base 1 to 120 matches the Rfam family "5.8S ribosomal RNA", at positions 35 to 154 of the family's 154-position model. The record is from RNAcentral.
GAUGAAGAACGCAGCGAAAUGCGAUAAGUAGUGUGAAUUGCAGAAUUCAGUGAAUCAUCGAAUCUUUGAACGCACAUUGCGCCCCUUGGUAUUCCAUGGGGCAUGCCUGUUCGAGCGUCAUUUCAACCAUCAAGCCCUGUUUAGGCUUGUGUUGGGGCCCUGCGGCUGCCGCAGCCCCCUAAAUGCAGUGGCGGGCUCGUUGUCACUCCGAGCGCAGUAGCGUAUCUCGCUCUGGGUGUGGCGGCGGGUGCUAGCCGUGAAACACCCACUAAGGUUGACCUCGGAUCAGGUAGGAAUACCCGCUGAACUUAAGCAUAUCAAUAAGCGGAGGA